AUUGAACGCUGGCGGCAUGCCUUACACAUGCAAGUCGAACGGUAACGGGCCUUCGGGUGCCGACGAGUGGCGCACGGGUGAGUAAUACAUCGGAACGUGCCCGAUCGUGGGGGAUAACGAGGCGAAAGCUUUGCUAAUACCGCAUACGAUCUACGGAUGAAAGCAGGGGACCGCAAGGCCUUGCGCGGACGGAGCGGCCGAUGGCAGAUUAGGUAGUUGGUGGGAUAAAAGCUUACCAAGCCGACGAUCUGUAGCUGGUCUGAGAGGAUGAUCAGCCACACUGGGACUGAGACACGGCCCAGACUCCUACGGGAGGCAGCAGUGGGGAAUUUUGGACAAUGGGCGCAAGCCUGAUCCAGCCAUGCCGCGUGCAGGAUGUAGGCCUUCGGGUUGUAAACUGCUUUUGUACGGAACGAAAAGCCUUCUUUUAAUACAGGAGGGUCAUGACGGUACCGUAAGAAUAAGCACCGGCUAACUACGUG
Molecule: ribosomal RNA, 482 nt
Filed under: uncultured bacterium
Lineage: Bacteria
Description: partial 16S ribosomal RNA
Rfam family: Bacterial small subunit ribosomal RNA
Source: RNAcentral